ACUCCGUGACACUAUGCUUGCUUGGAUUGGGAACCAUGGCCACCACUGCUUCUUCCCUCUUUUCUCUGCCUACAACAACUCCUAAACCUCACAAAACAACAACUCUUUUUUCAUGCCCUAAUUUCCUUAAACCGAAAUUCACCCUCAAAUUCCCCAGAUUGGGGGUUUCUUGUUCAAAAGAAAAGAAAAGGGGUCAAAAAAGGUGUCCCCUUUUGUGAUUUCUUGCUUGGUUGAUGAUAAUUUGAAUGCAGAAGGGUCUUUUGGUGAUGCUGAAUCAAACCCUAGAGCAACUAUUGACCUCAAACUCCCGAGAAGAAGCUUGUUAGUGCAAUUUACGUGCAAUGCUUGUGGCGUAAGAUCACAAAAGCUCAUAAACCGACUAGCUUAUGAAAAAGGGAUGGUUUUUGUUCAGUGUACUGGAUGUGAACAGUAUCACAAACUUGUUGACAAUCUAAAUCUUGUGGUGGAGUACGACUUUCGGGAGGAAAUCAAUGCGAGUCCGGAUGCAGAUCAA
Molecule: long non-coding RNA, 514 nt
Organism: Helianthus annuus (common sunflower)
Lineage: Eukaryota; Viridiplantae; Streptophyta; Magnoliopsida; Asterales; Asteraceae
Exons: 4
Source: RefSeq, a predicted model, not a curated record